CGACCCUCAGGCCCCGCCUAUGCGGGGCCUGGUGUUGGGGCAUCUACGCGUAGGCGUAGGCCCCGAAAUUCAGCGGCGGGCCCGCCGAGACCCCGAACGCAGUAAAUCAUACCUCGUUCAGGGCGUCCCGGCGGGCGUCUCCGGCCGUUAAACCCCCAACUUUUUUAAA
RNAcentral lists this unclassified non-coding RNA (169 nucleotides) under uncultured Diaporthales. RNAcentral's name for it is "sequence contains ITS2". The record is from RNAcentral. Lineage: Eukaryota; Fungi; Ascomycota; Sordariomycetes; Diaporthales.